RNAcentral lists this long non-coding RNA (174 nucleotides) under Mus pahari (shrew mouse). Its description in RNAcentral is "predicted gene 16306 (MGP_PahariEiJ_G0032924.1)". The record is from RNAcentral. Lineage: Eukaryota; Metazoa; Chordata; Mammalia; Rodentia; Muridae.
GACAGUGUGCAGGCAGCUGAAGUAUUUUUUGCUUGACCUUUCUGGAGGAGACAGAACUCAGGACUCUUCUAGAAGUAAUCACUACUUAGUGACAAAGAGGGAGGGGAAGAAUUGCUGUGCAUAGUCCUCUGAGCCACUUAGAGUGUUCCAUUCAUCCCAGCAUACUGUGCUUGC